CAGCCGCCGCGGUAAUACGUAGGGUGCGAGCGUUAAUCGGAUUUACUGGGCGUAAAGCGUGCGCAGGCGGCCCGUUAAGACAGGUGUGAAAUCCCUGGGCUCAACCUAGGAAUUGCGCUUGUGACUGGCGGGCUCGAGUACGGUAGAGGGGGUGGAAUUCCUGGUGUAGCAGUGCAAUGCGUAGAGAUCAGGAGGAACACCGAUGGCGAAGGCAGCCCCCUGGGCCUGUACUGACGCUCAUGCACGAAAGCGUGGGGAGCAAACAGGAGUAGAGACCCUGGUAGUCCACGCCCUAAACGAUGGGUACUAGCCGUUUGGUGCGCGAUAGCGCUGAGUGGCGAAGCUAACGCGUGAAGUACCCCGCCUGGGGAGUACGGCCGCAAGGUUGAAACUUAAAGGAAUUGGCGGG
Molecule: ribosomal RNA, 409 nt
Filed under: uncultured microorganism
Description: bacterial SSU rRNA
Rfam family: Bacterial small subunit ribosomal RNA
Source: RNAcentral